This 241-nucleotide ribosomal RNA is filed under the name uncultured bacterium. Its description in RNAcentral is "partial 16S ribosomal RNA". It matches the Rfam family "Bacterial small subunit ribosomal RNA", at positions 796 to 1041 of the family's 1533-position model. The record is from RNAcentral. RNAcentral also lists the same sequence under 1 other name.
CACGCCCUAAACGAUGAUCACUCGAUGUGUGCGAUAAACUGUACGCGUCCAAGCGAAAGCAUUAAGUGAUCCACCUGGGGAGUACGACCGCAAGGUUGAAACUCAAAGGAAUUGACGGGGGCCCGCACAAGCGGAGGAGCAUGUGGUUUAAUUCGAUGAUACGCGAGGAACCUUACCAGGGCUUGAAAGUUAAGGAAUGAUGUAGAAAUAUGUCAGUCAGCAAUGACCUAAAACUAGGUGC